Leopardus geoffroyi (Geoffroy's cat) is the source of this 3568-nucleotide long non-coding RNA. RefSeq lists it as uncharacterized. The transcript has 2 exons. The record is from RefSeq and is a predicted model, not a curated record. NCBI's taxonomy places the organism in Eukaryota, Metazoa, Chordata, Mammalia, Carnivora, Felidae.
UGGGAGGGGAGGGCUCCAGCUCUGCCUUCACCAAGAAGGCGUGGCCUCAGGCAGAAGGAGGAGCCAGAGGACGAGGGCGGGAGUCAGGUUCCCAGAUAGACAGAUAGAUGUGGCCCCGUGGAAUUAGGCUUUCCGGUUUAUGCAUCUGGGAGAUGUGUAACGAGCAACGUGUCUUGCAGGCACUGUGCAGGUACAUCAGGGACCGAAGUAAAGUCCUUGUCCUCACAAGCUGUCCGUGGUCGGCGGGGACAGAAAAUAAAUGAAGAUGAAAUAAGUCUACAUUCGUAGCUCUAUGUGAGCAGAACCAGCGAAUCCGUGCACGUUGUGGCAUCAUCCUGAUACCAUCCUUUGCAGGGCCUGUCCCUCCCUCUUGUCAUCUCAUGGCCACUGCCUGCAGCCUGACCGUCACCCUGUCUUCACUGGCCUGCGCUGACCUGACAUCCAUCCCUGAGCCCCGGUCCGUUCUCCACAUACCAGCCGGGGUGGGGGAGGGGGAUGCUUUCCACGGCCCUGACCACUUGCUGGAGGCCCCGUGCUGGCUUGCUUUUUCUUGGCAAAGUCCUAAUGCUCGCCACAGCCUGCGAGGCUCUGUGUCGUCUGCCCAAGGCCAUUAGGCCUGGAGUGUUGAUAUUUUGUGUGCAUGUGAUCACGAUGACCAGAUUUCUGUGAGGCGGUCAUGAAGAAGACAGGAACCGGGGACAGUGAUGGGAAGUGUAGGGAAGCGGAUGUCAGGGGAUUAAGAGGGAGACCUUUCUUUCUGUUUGAGCUCUCCGAUAAUGGGCAGCCUGCCUGGGGGAGCACUUAGCUCCCCAUCACCGUGUGUGUGCAGCACAGAGGCUGGGGGACUCCUUGGCAGGGAAGGUGUUGAGGAAAUCUGAGCGUUGGUUGGAAAGAUGAUUUAGCAGACAUCCAAGGUUUAUCUUAUCUCUCCUUUAAAUGUUUCAUCCUAAAGUUUCUUUCAGAUGCUCUUCAGGUAGAACACAGUCUGUCUUUCCAAAGGGGAGUUUCAAGAGCUAUCUAUGUUCCUAGCUGGCUAGCUGUAACCCAUCUGUCCGCUCAUCCAAGAUCCAUCCGUCCAGCCACCCACCCGCUAACCCACCAACCCAGCCACCAACCCAUCCCUUCAUACGUAUGUAUAUCCUACCCACCCAUCCGUCCAUCCACUCAUCCGUACAUGUAUCCUUCCAUCCACCUACCCUCCCACCCACCCACCUACCCUCCCAUCCAUCCAUCCACCCACCCAUUCAUCUAUCCAUCUACCCAUUCAUCCAUCCAUCCAUACACCCACUUUUCCACCCAUCUACCCACCAUCCACCCACCCAUCCAUCCACCCAUCCAUCUAUCCAUCCACCCACCCAUCCAUCCAUUCGUACAUGCAUCCUUCCAUCCACCUACCCUCCCAUCCAUCCACCCAUCCAUCCAUUCAUCCAUCUAUGUUUGUCAUGUUUCCCUCUUAUCUUCUUUUCUUUGUCAUAAAAAUGAUAUCAAGGAAGACUGGACAGACACAGACACAGCAACCACAAUGUGAAAUAACAUUUCUUCGCAUCCAUUUUGUCUCAGGCAGUAGCUAAGCGCUUUGAGUGUGUUGGUGUGACUGAAGCAGCAGGACAGAGGGUAGAUCUGGAGCCACGUGUUAGGGCUUCCAAUCCCUGCUCUGCCUCCUAAGAGCUAUGCUACUUUCAGCCAGGCAUUUUAAUUUUCCUGUGCCUCAGUUUCCUCACGUGUUAAAAAAAAAGGUUAAUCACCUACUUUAUAAGGCUGUUAUGAGGAUUAGAUGGGAUGAUGUUUGUAAAGCUAUUAAAACAAAGCCUGUGUGUAAGAGCCACUGCUAUUCAUCCUCUUAAUGGCCUUCAUUUGACACAGUGAUAAUAUUCCCAUUAACCAGCCGGGAAACUAGGCUUAGAGACACCAAGGCACACACCUGAAUCAUCCAGCUCUGAAGGGACGAUGCUAAGAUUGGAAGCUGAGUGGCUGUGACUUCCAAGUUCAUCGUGCUUUCAGACAUAAUGCGGUGUGCGCUGCCUUUUGCGACAAGGCGAUUGGCGUGUGCCUGAAAGGGAGCUGGGAGGAACGUUCCGGAGGGAUCUGAAGUGGGCAGAGGAACGCUCCCUCCUUUUGGUCUGUUGCAGAGCUGACUGGUGUGUGGGGCUGUGGCCAGUGCGUGGGCCAGGGGUGGCCAAGGAGAAGCUGGAGGCCGGAGGAGGGCGGGCCCGACCCAACUUCUACACGGAGGGAUCAGGAAGAGGAAAGACUGUCACAGAGGGAGGAUGCAGACCGCCCAUACCUGGUAUCCUACAAUCUGAGUUUUUACCAAACCAAAAGCGUAUGGUUUGUCGUAACUUUUAACUGACGUCUUGGCUCACGUACGACGACUACGUUUACUCUGAGUUAGGCUCUCGUACCGUUUUGACAAUGAAGAUACUCAGGAGGUAUGUUCCCUGCUCAACUUGCAUUGUCUAGGCCCUCGACAUCACCAGUACGCUGAUGUGAUUUAUGGUCCUGACAUGGGAUCCCCCCGCAGGAUCACUUUCCGUGGAAAUGGACUCCUAGGAAAAAAAUUCCAGUUUCCCUAGUACUGUUUGCUUUUUGUGGGUCUGUUAUGCCAACUUGAAGGUCCCAGAUUUAUAUUGAAAAACGGCCAUGGCUGAUUUCUUUUUCCUUCUGGAUUAAUUACCCUCCAGGCCAGUGAGGUCUCUUUCACACUCAAGAGAACGUUUUCUGCCUUGUGUAUCAAAUCCGACCCUAAUUUUGUUCUGACACCUUCCUCGCCGUUUGAUGAGAACUCAAUUAAUUUUUUACAUGAAAUCAAUAGGGGAAAAGACACUAAUGUCAUUCUCUUUUCUUUAUCAUCAGUAGCUAAUCAUCAGAGUCCUAAUCAGUUCUGGGAUAAUUUAAGCUGGGCAGUUUCUUUGAGAAAGAUGUUAUCAUAGGCAAGCCUGUUAAGAAACGAUAAUGGCUUACGUUUAUUAAGUGCCUCUUAUGGGCUGGACAUCAUUCUGCACUCCAGUGUGAGUCUCUCAUUUACAAGAGUACGUAUAUCGUUCGUACGGUGUAACAGAACUGGCCUGAGCAAAUACACUCACCUUACAGUGCAGUGAAAACAUGACAUCUUUGUGACCUGGGAAAAAUGAAUAUUCCCUGAGAACGCAGUGUUGGAAUCCCACCAACUCCGCCAACUUGUAGUAAGAAUUUCAGCCCAGCAUGUGUGAUUCACAGUGUCUCUGUCCCACGGAACCAUUAGAGAUUUGGGCGGGGGGAGGUGGAAAUUUAUGUGCAUUUCAUUAGAAACAAUUUAAAAUGCUCUAGGGGAUGGUGGGAAUUGCCUCCACAGCAAUGGAUCCAGUCCCGUAUGUAGACGAUGAAUUCUUAAUUCUUAUUUUCCUCUCCUGUGGCCAUUUGGGAAAUUUAACAGAUGAGAGUUGGCCUCAUUAACUGCAUGGCAUUUUAAUUGGUUUAAAGGCACAUUUUUCUUUCCUUUGUGGCUUUGGGGACGCCCUGGCAGUUUUAACUGUUGCCUCUUCUGACAGUUUAUCCAUGGUGAUUAACAUUAAAACUGUUUGGACAGGAA